UGAGGCUGUUCCAUUAGUUCUU
This 22-nucleotide unclassified non-coding RNA is filed under the name Dictyostelium discoideum. The record is from RNAcentral. Lineage: Eukaryota; Evosea; Eumycetozoa; Dictyosteliales; Dictyosteliaceae.